Molecule: small RNA, 72 nt
Filed under: Pseudomonas sp. Tn43
Lineage: Bacteria; Pseudomonadati; Pseudomonadota; Gammaproteobacteria; Pseudomonadales; Pseudomonadaceae
Description: sRNA P10
Rfam family: Pseudomonas sRNA P10
Source: RNAcentral
CAUAACUGAUCCCACCAGUUGCCCUAUGCCUGGACACGGGCCCAAAGCCCUCGCGUCCGGAUCUCCCGAUGU